This 499-nucleotide ribosomal RNA is filed under the name uncultured marine bacterium. RNAcentral describes it as "bacterial SSU rRNA". It matches the Rfam family "Bacterial small subunit ribosomal RNA", at positions 37 to 526 of the family's 1533-position model. The record is from RNAcentral.
UGGCGGCGGCCUAACACAUGCAAGUCGAGCGGAAACGAAGAGGUGCUUGCACCUCUGGCGUCGAGCGGCGGACGGGUGAGUAAUGCUUGGGAAUAUGCCUUAUGGUGGGGGACAACAGUUUGAAACGACUGCUAAUACCGCAUGAUGUCUACGGACCAAAGUGGGGGACCUUCGGGCCUCACACCAUAAGAUUAGCCCAAGUGGGAUUAGCUAGUUGGUGAGGUAAUGGCUCACCAAGGCGACGAUCCCUAGCUGGUUUGAGAGGAUGAUCAGCCACACUGGGACUGAGACACGGCCCAGACUCCUACGGGAGGCAGCAGUGGGGAAUAUUGCACAAUGGGCGCAAGCCUGAUGCAGCCAUGCCGCGUGUGUGAAGAAGGCCUUCGGGUUGUAAAGCACUUUCAGUAAGGAGGAAAGGUUAAGUGUUAAUAGCACUUAGCUGUGACGUUACUUACAGAAGAAGCACCGGCUAACUCCGUGCCAGCAGCCGCGGUAAUAC